CCUUCAGAAUUAGUCAUAUCUACAAGGGAAACAUAUGAGAAUGGCAUUCCUCUUUAUGAUUAAGCCCACAGUAACCACACACAACCAACUUUAUUUUUUGUACAGUUUGCCACCUGUUCCCCAUCAGAAUCACACACACACACCCCCCAAGGAGGUCAAAGAAAGAGCUGGUGGUCAUACCUAGAAGACUCUCAAAGCCUAGAGGAUUAAUUUACUUUCUCAUGUGACAUCAUAGCAAGCAAGGUUAUUUCAGGAGAUGGACCGUGUUGCUCAUACAAAACAAGUGAUUUAUCUUCUUGAAAACAGCAGAAGUUCACAGUCGGAAUUACAGCGAAGAGCAAGCAGAAAAGAAUUCUUGCACUCACAUGGAUGGCACUGCAAAUGCAAGCUGAUGCAGAAUUUCAUACUGCUUCCCUUUCCUCCAUAGUACACUGAGUUUCUACACUGACUAAGAAACAUGGCCUUCUACAUACUGUAAAUUAUGGAAAUCAAUCUACAACUGCUGCAAUGCAACACUAGUCUGACAUCCAGGCAGCACUUUGCCAGCCUCUGGGCUGUAUGUUUAUGGCUUGAAGCGGGUGGCAUGCAGGCAUGAUAAUGGCUACAGAAGCAAUCAAGGAGAAAAUACAUAGGAAGUGAUGGAAUAAUCUAUGACUAUAACACCAGCAUUUAUACGAGGUUCUCUUCAGUAGCAUCAAUCAGCUGCCCUAGCAGAAAAUCCUUACUAUUAUCACCAUCAGCUGCUUGGUUUUCCAAGUGACAACAACAAAAUCAGCCUAGACUUCUUUGUCUUAAACAACAACUACUGAAUCAGCAGGUGGAACUCUGCAGAACUUGGGAGGUAAACAUUAGCUCUAUUCAUGUGAUACCAGAUUGCUGGGAGAAUGGGAUCACACCUGCCUCCCACCCCACCCCAGAGUUCAUGUGUCAUCAGAAGCUUCAAACAGAACCAACAUGUGUGCAAGUAGUACAAGUCUGGAGGACCUGCAUUUUGUCCCCACACCUUCCAUAUCUUCAACAGAACAGAUUUCUGUUAAAGCCAUAGGAGCAGUGACUGAUAAAUGACAUGGCAAUCCUAUGGGCUGUCUUUCAUUAAAUGCCUUUGAGAAAGCACAGGUGGUUAAACUACCGUAUUUUUCGUCCUAUAGGGCGCACCGGCCCAUUGGACGCACCUUGUUUUUU
Non-coding RNA from Podarcis muralis (Common wall lizard), 1182 nucleotides. The record is from RefSeq and is a predicted model, not a curated record. NCBI's taxonomy places the organism in Eukaryota, Metazoa, Chordata, Lepidosauria, Squamata, Lacertidae.